This 1125-nucleotide long non-coding RNA is filed under the name Piliocolobus tephrosceles (Ugandan red Colobus). RNAcentral describes it as "lncRNA (ENSPTEG00000024812.1)". The record is from RNAcentral. Lineage: Eukaryota; Metazoa; Chordata; Mammalia; Primates; Cercopithecidae.
ACAAGUUUGUUAUCUAACCAGUGUUGUCAGACACGUUCAGUGGCAGGGGAUUGUAAUUUUAAAAGCUAUAAUCUGAAGAGGGCAAGACCCUCAUAUCCUUCUUCCUUUGGGGUCUGGGAAGCGCGUGCCCGUUUGGCUGCGAGGCUGCGUCCGGGUUCUCACUCCUUCACUUUCAGGCCUCUGGGCCUCCCUCCCAUCUCUCCACUUGCAGGUGCCUGCGAAGCCUCCCUUGUCCCCUAUCUCCUCUCCCCCUCCCAGAGUCCUUCUUCUGAAGCGUCCCUGCCCCACUACUGGCCUCCCCGCCUCCCGUCUUCUCCCUUCUCCCUUCCCUCUUCUCUCUUCUCGGCCUCCUCGGCUUACCCCGACCGUCUCCCCUCACUGCUUCUCCUGCCAGGCGGCCUCCCAGCCUCUCCUCUUCUCUCCCCACAGCCUUGCCGCCGCACAUCAGGAAGUCGGACUCCCGCGGCUGCGCGAGUGCGCAAGACACACAGGGGCCCCGCGCGCAGACGCUCCCCGAGGCCUCGCGGCGGCCACGCGGAGACCGCCCUCGCCGCCCGCGCCUGGCCAGACCCGCGGCGCCAAAGCCCCCGCCGCCUGCGGACAACCAGGCCAGCUUCCGUGAGGCAGCACACGCGUCCACAGGUACGCGCCUGGCGCAAGCCGAGAACCGCGCGUCGCCGCGCCGCAGGCUCCCAUCGGAGGUCGCGCCGAGACGCGCGCGCUCACAGGCCCUACGCUCCCCUGCCGCUUGGCCGCCCGCGCGCGCCGCCGAGGGCCCCGGUGGCCCUGCCCACCCCAAUCGGCCGCGCGCCGUCGCCGAGCCUCAGUCUCAGCUUCGGCUUCAGCCGCGGAGGGACGCAAAGCCUGGCGCCGAGCCCUGCUCGGGCGCCUGCCGGCCAGACAAGGACUGGCGCGAGGCGUUCUGCAAGAGCGAAUUCGGUGAGCCCGGCCGCCGCGCCGCCUCCCCGCGAGCCUUUCCGAGUCCCGGAGAAUCCUGCACGCGAGAUCCCAGGGCGCCCGACCCGUGCGGGCCGUUUCGCUGUUGCUAUAAACCAACGCUCGGGGACUGGGAGAGGAACUGGGGGUAGUGCUCUUCUCCAAACUUUUUUUUCGAAGCAGCGGUGA